UAGCUGCAAUGAACAGCAAGUUGAACACAUUUUUACAUUCAGACCAUAUCCUUAUAAGCAACCAAAUGAAAAUAUGAUUUGCUCUGUAAGUGAAAUUUUUUGGUGGUACAAAUGAUUAUGAAUUACAGAGGAGCACCAGUUACCCACUGCUGUUGGCAAGAACACUGUGGAAGAGGACUGAAGCCAGAUACAGAAUUUGUUGAAGUGUGAGGCAGUUAACAGGUGUGACAUUCAACAGUUGGUAGGAAUAUAAUUCGGGUUUAAUAUGAGAUGGGCACUGUUGGUUGCAACUGAUUCCAAGAGAGUGGCUGAAGCUGAAAGGUGGGAUCUUGGUGCAACUAAAGAUACCAGAAUAACAAGGAGAAAUAAGAAGAACAAGUGAGAAGAUGAGGAACACUGAAACCAAGAAAAUUAUGCAACUACGGAGCAUAUUGUGAACAAAAGAGCUGAGUAUAUCAGUUUAUGUUAAAUUUUCCAAGAAUUAAAUUCUCUUAAGUUUUUACUAAUUUAAUUAUGUGUGAAUUGACCAGUUCGGAUCGUACUACAAUUUCAUUUCUUCUCUGUCUGAUGUUUCUUCUUUCUCCAGUACUCCUGUAUAUGGACGCUGUGCUGUUGCUUCUGUCCAUCCGUCCAGGCUUUUCUAGUCUUGGUUCUUCUUUUCAUGUGUAGUCAUGGUCCACAAUGUAUUCUUAUUUUACAUCUGAACUUUCUGAAUGUUAACAUUUCCAGAUCUUUACAAGCUUCCUCAAUCCUUAUCGUUGUUGUGUUCUUGUUCCACAGGUAGUCGAAUAUCCUUUUGGAUAGUCUGGUUUUGUCCAUUCAGUACAAGUGUCCUAGAGAUGAUUACCUCCGCUAGUUCGUGGUCUCUGAAAUUUUCUCCACCUUAUUGUAGAUUUCAUUGUUGCUCCAAAAUUUCCAACCAGUUACAACCUGACUUUGACCCAUGAUUUUCCCAUAAUACUCAUCUUCCUAGUAAGUCCAGCUUUUCCAACUUCUAAUUCAUUGGGGCAUUCACUGGCAUACAGGCACACUGUUUUUACCACAACAUUGUAGUAUUGUAUUGUGACAUUCCAAGAGAUGCACUUUUUGUUUUAAAAGUUUGUAGUAAAUCCGUAAGCUCUAUGUAUUUGUGAGCUCUGUUCCCCCACAGAGGCCUUCUCCAGUCCGUUGUCUUGUAUGGCUUCACCGAGGUAUUUGAUUUUUUUUUACCCUCUCAAUCCACCCAAUCUCCGUUCCAAGGAAUUGUGGUCCAUGUUUGUCACUUGUCAUAACUUUGGUCUUCCCUUUAGAGAUCCUAAGUCAUGGCAUGACAUGCCGGGACUGAUUAGCUGAACAGUUCGCUUUCUUAGGAAUUCACACACACUUCCUGUUUUGCAAGUCAUCCUCUCUAGUGGGUUAGUGUGUGUGGCUGCUUCUCCUAAGUUCUCUGAAAGUGUCACAAAAUCAUCAGUGAAAGCCAAGCAGUUUACUUUGAUUCCUCCUGAUAUUCUUCCUAGACAGAUUGGGCCAAUCCCUUGAUUUUCAAGUUCAGAAUUCCAAUUUCUCACAAUCUACUCCAGGAUACAGUUAAACAGUAUUGGUGAUAAUCCAUCGCCCAGUCACACACCUGUUCUCCCAUAAACUUCACUUUGGAAGUUGUGCCUGUUAAGAUGUAUGUGAUAAUGUUUGCCAGCUUGUUACUGACCCCAAAUUCCGUGAUGAUUCUAUCUAGAGUCUCUCUAUCCACCGAGUCAGUUCUAUUCAGCAGUGUCCUUGGGAGGAUCUUGUCGAUGACUGGGUGUAGUGACAUGUCUCUGUAGUUGUUUACAAGUUGUUUCUACCUUUCUUAUGGAGUGGGUAGAUCAGUGCUGUUUUCCAUUCAUCUGGCAGUUUUACUAUCUCCCAUAUUUGCUGAAAGAUUUGGUGUAGGUCAUCUAGGAUUUCUGUUCUGCCCAUUUCAGCAUUUCUGCUGAUAUCGGGUCUUCUCCACUGGCCUUGUUGUUUUUGGGACUUUUUAGGGCUUCCUUUGUUUCUUCUUCUGUUGGUGGUAUGUCAUCCUCUAGGUUUUGAGGAGGAGCCAGAAGUUCCAGUUUGGUGGUUGGAGGUGGGCAGUUGAGCAGCUUGUAGAAGUGUCUGAUUAGUAGAGUGCAAUUUUCUUCAUUAUUCAAUCCAAUUUUGUCCUGUUCAUUUUUGAAACUUACACUUGGGACCUGGUAUCCUUUGAUCCGAUCUUUGAAAGUUUGAAAAAGUCUCUGUUGUUAUUUUUUGUGUAGCUGUUCUUGAGAUUUUCUAAUUUUUAUUUCUCAAAUGAUCGUUUGACUCUGCAGGAUAUCCUUGCUGUUUCUUUUCUUUGUUUUCUGAAUUGUUCCAUGUGUUGUCUCUCACUUCGUGUGCUUUCUCACAUUCUUCAUUCCACCAGAUUAACCGUUUUGUCAUUGCCUGACAGUGUUUUCUUUGCGGCAUCGUUGAUCUCUGUACGGAGUUAUUGCCAGGGGUCUAUUCUAGAUGAGCGGAUUUCUUCUUUGAAGUUAUUUGGAAUGUCCCGGUUGAUGUUCAUUGGGUUGGUGUUAUACUUGAUCACUAUGAGUGGCUCUGUUUCAUUUUGAUGCGAGAAAAUGCAUUUUAACUUUGCAUAGGUAGUGAUCAGAGUCGAAUUCACUGUCUGAUUACUUUAACAUUCAUCACUUGUCUAGUGUUUUUCCUGGUAUUGCUACAUGGCCUAAUUGGAAUUCUAGGUUGGGAUUUGGAGAUACCCAAGUCUUUGCUUUUCUUGGGACUUUCCGAAAAUGAGUUGACAUUACCUACAACUGGAAAGUUUUGCAGCGUCCAGUGAGCAUUUCUACUGUCUGAUUUGUUCUUCCGUGUGCUGAGCAGCCUCUUGCUAUGUCUUUAUAUUUUCUUUCUCUCUCGAUCUGUACGUUGAAGAUACCUAGAAGGAUUUUCUACGGUUCAGAGGUAUGCUGGAGAUUUGUUUCCAGUAGAUCCCAGAAGUCGUCUGCUGUUUGGAGGUUGUUCUUGUUGUCUUUGUUAAUUGGAUUGUGGCAGUAUAUGGGAGUAUAUUUCUUGUUUAUGCACUUGAUUGUCAGUAUUGAUAACCUUCCAGAUUUUGAUGAGAAGCUCAUGACAUUGUUAACUAUGGUUCUGUUUAGGUAAAAGGUACUACCCAGGAGAGGGGUGUUAAUCAUUAUUUUUAUUGCUGGCUUUCCUUUGAAUGCUCUACGGUGUUGUGAGUCCACAAUGAGCUCAUCUAGGAAUCUGGCCUCUAAUACAGCCAACAUGUGAAUUUCGCAUUUAUACAGGAGCUUUUCCAAUUUUUAUUGUUUUCCGACUCGGAGGAGUGAAUUUACAUACGGUCCCAGUGUAGUAUUUCUUUCCGAAUUUCAGUUUGGAAGGUAAUAGGUACUAUUCACUGGAGAGAAGACUGGGCACUAAUGUACUAUCUACUGGAAGGAAGAUAUGUACUGAUUAAUUAUAAAACAGUGGCCUUAAUUUUGAUUAUCAGGUGUAAAUAUUAGUAGAAUAAAAACUUGUUCCUGAAAUGACAGGAGCGUGGGCUGCUCUCUUGAUAGAUAUCUCAUUAAGGUGUCCUUGAAGUUUCAAGCACCUAAGUAAAUUAGUCAGUGCAUAGAUUCCAAGUAAUGAUUGGGAUAUACACAUGUAAUUUGAUGAGCUUCACAAAAAAUUGUAAUAAAGAAAAUGAGUGAACUAAUGUUAU
Molecule: long non-coding RNA, 3694 nt
Organism: Schistocerca serialis cubense
Lineage: Eukaryota; Metazoa; Arthropoda; Insecta; Orthoptera; Acrididae
Exons: 3
Source: RefSeq, a predicted model, not a curated record